RNAcentral lists this transfer RNA (72 nucleotides) under Teleaulax amphioxeia. RNAcentral describes it as "tRNA-Thr". It matches the Rfam family "tRNA". From Rfam's summary of the family: Transfer RNA (tRNA) molecules are approximately 80 nucleotides in length. The record is from RNAcentral. Lineage: Eukaryota; Cryptophyceae; Pyrenomonadales; Geminigeraceae.
GCCUCUUUAGUUUAAUGGUUAGAACAAUUGCUUUGUAAGCAAUGAAUUUCAGUUCGAGUCUGAGAAGAGGCU